Molecule: ribosomal RNA, 502 nt
Filed under: Colletotrichum cf. gloeosporioides ROG-2010
Lineage: Eukaryota; Fungi; Ascomycota; Sordariomycetes; Glomerellales; Glomerellaceae
Description: eukaryotic LSU rRNA
Rfam family: 5.8S ribosomal RNA (bases 178-331)
Source: RNAcentral
CAUUACUGAGUUUACGCUCUAUAACCCUUUGUGAACAUACCUAUAACUGUUGCUUCGGCGGGUAGGGUCUCCGCGACCCUCCCGGCCUCCCGCCUCCGGGCGGGUCGGCGCCCGCCGGAGGAUAACCAAACUCUGAUUUAACGACGUUUCUUCUGAGUGGUACAAGCAAAUAAUCAAAACUUUUAACAACGGAUCUCUUGGUUCUGGCAUCGAUGAAGAACGCAGCGAAAUGCGAUAAGUAAUGUGAAUUGCAGAAUUCAGUGAAUCAUCGAAUCUUUGAACGCACAUUGCGCCCGCCAGCAUUCUGGCGGGCAUGCCUGUUCGAGCGUCAUUUCAACCCUCAAGCUCUGCUUGGUGUUGGGGCCCUACAGCUUAUGUAGGCCCUCAAAGGUAGUGGCGGACCCUCCCGGAGCCUCCUUUGCGUAGUAACUUUACGUCUCGCACUGGGAUCCGGAGGGACUCUUGCCGUAAAACCCCCCAAUUUUCCAAAGGUUGACCUCGG